UGGCUAAACGAGAGACCCGGAGAGAUAGUGAGUGAGCACUGGCUGCAAGUCAACUACAUACACGGCAAAAAAUGGUUGGGUAUGUUCAUUGUUUACUAUGCUAGUUCAUCUUUAUGCUCUUAAGAAGUUUUACUGAUAAAAUAUAGUUAAUGAUCAUUGAUGAAAUUGAAAAGAUUUCUAAUAAUUAAGCCCUUAUAAUUCUCAACUCCUAAGAAAGUUAUCAAAUUAUCUUUAAAACCAAAAGAAAGUACAAAAGAACCUCUUAAAUUAAAAAGUAUUGAUUAUAUCUUGACAUAUUUUUCCAUCCCCAGCAAACAUCAAACCCCUGAUGACUGAUCACUUUCUUUCCAUAAACAAAGCAACCUUUUUCUUUCAGUGUAGCAAGCGAGGCAAGUCGUUGUGUUUGAACUGUUUAAAGUUGAGACUUAAGUGAAGGCAACUACCCUCUAUCUGUCUUUCUAUCUCAAUAGCCAAUGUUUCUGUCUUGCUCUCUCGCUUCCGACUGCAAGCGCCGAUGUUCAUUAUCUCAGUCAAAGUCGCUGCACUCUGUGCUCAAUUGGCCGGCCUCAAGACGUCGACUUCAUAUAUCAUACGCCUUGGAGCUUAACCCUAGGGCGACCAAAGUGAUCGGGUUUGGAGCUCAAAAAUGGAGGAAAUCUUUUAAAUUUGUUCAAAAAAGAUAGUUUGAUAAAGCAAAUCAGUUAUAAUGCCUUGAUCUUAGCUUUUGGUGAAUCCGAUCUAUUAUAAAUAUUGGGAAUACCUUAUUAGACGAAAACUGAAUCUUAGAUAUACAUCCGUUGAGAGGUUUUUUUGGGCCUUAAUUUUUAUGGAAAAACUGGGAUGAGUCACUAACCGAUCCACCAAACCAUGUCAGUCGAAAAGGGGCGUGUUACCUGGCUCUCUCUCUUAACCCCAAUACCCCGCUUCUAGCCGUUGUCCCUCGAUACCAAUCUGAUGUGGCCCUGACAGAGCCAAAAAGAGAGGCGGCGAGAAGCAAGAAGCGAGAAAACCCCUGAGAAACAGGUUGGCCAGCCGAGAAUUGUGUAACGAUCGUCGACUUCCUCACCUACGCCUCACAGGUGCCGCCAGGUAAAUGGAAUGUGGAAUAUGGAAUGUGCAUAGAAUGCACUGAGAGAAAAUAUAAAGAUCUUCUUUAGGUAUUCCUUAAAUUUCAAUGAAAAAACCAAGGCAAUUUAAGUUUCUAAGUUAGUCAUAUAGUUAAAGGAAAGAUGAGUUUUAAACUCUUCGAAAAAUGUGAAAAAAUUCUUUUUUUUGAAUUUUUAAAGUGUUAAAUUCAGAAAAGGUUUUAGUAUGAAAAACCUUAAAAUUUUCAUCAGUAAAAUAUUAUCAAAUACACUUUUUGUCAGUUGUUACUUUACUCUUCUACCAAAAUUUGUAACUAUAUUCAUCUAGAUGCAAUUUUUUUCAGUGUCACCCCAGUAGAUACCCCAAAACGGAAGGCGAGAGUGACCCUAAUGGAGUUAAGGUGCCAAGAAGAAACGAGGGGCCGUACAUUAAUCUCUUGAUCCGCGAGGCUUCUUCGUCGUCUCGUCUCGUUCUUUGAUCUAGGAUCGUGGCCAUUAAUCAUAAUCGCCUUGGGGGCAUGGAAAAAGGGAAACCGGUUGGGUUUUGAGGUGUCCAAAACAUGUUUUACUUUUUUUGUUAAAGAAGCAACACUUUCAGGCCAAAGUCAUUUAAAUAAAAUUGUAAUUUAAAUUUUUGAAACGAAAGAGAAGCCUAAUGUCUUGUCUAUAAAUUGGAAAAUGCUACAAAAACACUUUUUUUUCCUAAAAUUAAGGCAAUGAAGAAGAUUUUGUUAUUAAUCAUUGUUUGGUCUAGGAUCUUAGGGCCAUUAAUCUUGAUCGGCUUGGGAUUUAACCGGUUUUGAUUGUGUGAAAUUUGUGAUUCAGAACUUGAUUUGCCAUCUUUUAAGAAGGAAAUUUUACUGAAAGUGUUAAAUUAUUUAAAUAACUUCAUGAUUUUACCGCAGUUUUCUGUUGUUACUCAUUGGUUGACCUAAUUUGUGGCAUGCCACUGGUUUAUUUGCAGGCAUUACGUAAUAUAUUUGUUUAUAAUUUUGUAAAAUCAAUUCAAAAUAUUUGUACUGGGAAUUCCCUUGUGGUUAGCCCUUGAAGUUGAACAGAAUUUAUAGGAACUUCGAGUCCCAUGGGUAAAACCCUUAUGGGAAUUUUAUUUCGAAAUAUUUGUCAAAUAAAAUUCCGUGUAAAUACUAUUUAGAAAGCUAUUUGGUCUACUUUUCUGAAGAGGCGUUCUCAUAGAACCAUAAAUCAUAAUAUUUAUAGAGAAAUUCCCCUUCAAAAUAACAAAUUAACCCCAAAGCAGCUAAUAAUUCCCAACUUUUGCUGGUUUUAGGUGUAACAUUCAUUGAUGAUUUCGAAAACAAAAUAAACAGUG
This is a long non-coding RNA of Drosophila eugracilis, 2415 nucleotides long. RefSeq lists it as uncharacterized. The transcript has 3 exons. NCBI's taxonomy places the organism in Eukaryota, Metazoa, Arthropoda, Insecta, Diptera, Drosophilidae. The record is from RefSeq and is a predicted model, not a curated record.